RNAcentral lists this ribosomal RNA (468 nucleotides) under uncultured bacterium. RNAcentral's name for it is "partial 16S ribosomal RNA". It matches the Rfam family "Bacterial small subunit ribosomal RNA", at positions 28 to 507 of the family's 1533-position model. The record is from RNAcentral.
GACGAACGCUGGCGGCGUGCUUAACACAUGCAAGUCGAACGGAAAGGCCCUGCUUUUGUGGGGUGCUCGAGUGGCGAACGGGUGAGUAACAUGUGAGUAACCUGCCCUUGACUUUGGGAUAACUUCAGGAAACUGGGGCUAAUACCGGAUAGGAGCUCCUGCUGCAUGGUGGGGGUUGGAAAGUUUCGGCGGUUGGGGAUGGACUCGCGGCUUAUCAGCUUGUUGGUGGGGUAGUGGCUUACCAAGGCUUUGACGGGUAGCCGGCCUGAGAGGGUGACCGGCCACAUUGGGACUGAGAUACGGCCCAGACUCCUACGGGAGGCAGCAGUGGGGAAUAUUGCACAAUGGGCGGAAGCCUGAUGCAGCAACGCCACGUGCGGGAUGACGGCCUUCGGGUUGUAAACCGCUUUCGCCUGUGACGAAGCGUGAGUGACGGUAAUGGGUAAAGAAGCACCGGCUAACUACGUG